Molecule: long non-coding RNA, 778 nt
Organism: Drosophila ananassae
Lineage: Eukaryota; Metazoa; Arthropoda; Insecta; Diptera; Drosophilidae
Exons: 4
Source: RefSeq, a predicted model, not a curated record
GUUUCAUUGGCAAACAUUACAUACCCAUUUCUUUUACUUCAUUUUCUAUUUUAAAUAUAAGAAGAAGAUGUCUUGGAAAACUUUUUUCUACUUGGUUGGCUGUCUGAUAACAUUAGUUGUUUUCUGGUACACAAUGCAAGACCAAAGAAAGCGAACGAGAAGGGGGUGUUUGUUUAGGUGUUGAAUAAUAUAUUCAGUAACGUCAAAUGCUAAUAAAAAUAUAAAUUCUAUGAUUUCAUACUUUUGAAUGAAUUAUCAGCAUCAAAAAUUAUAAUAAUGUACCAAAAAAUAUUUUCUUAUAACCACCUUGUAAGAUCCAGAAUGUUCAUAUAUGACCUUGCCGUGUCGAUAUUUUGGCCAAUCCUCAUCCGAUGGAUUUCGACACACAUUUUUUUAAAAUUAUUUUUAAAAAAUUUUCCAUUCAUUUCCGCAUAGCCCAGUUAAAUUAAUUCGUCUUAUUAAUUUAAUCUUUAACUUUAGAGCUAAACCAUAUCAAAUUUCCUAGAAACUUUCACUCUUAAAAUUGCGUAUAAAAGAGAAUUAUUUAAAAUGUAUUUUACACUAAACUAAAACUAAAACUAAGUAAUGUCUUGGAAUACAGUUGUUCUAGCAAUAAUUGCAUCAGUACCUUGGUUUGAUCCUUCAUCAGGAAUUUGGAUUUAUGAUGAUAAAUGAGUAAUAUAAUUAAGUUUUGUAUGUAAAUUAAAAUUGCAUAGAAAGAAAUAAGGUUAUGAAAAGAAACCUUACAAUUGAGUUCCUUAUUUAUGAAAAUUGUAGU